CCAGGCUGGGAGGGAAGUGGCUGAGAGCUCACAGGCACCCCCUCAGCCCCCGAGAGGAAGCCCACAGCUGUGGGAAGGGCUGCCACUGUUGCUGCUGCUGCUGAGAGUAUCGUUAUGGACUUGUGCCAGGUGUUUGACCAGGAACUGGAUGCACUGGAAAUUGAGACAGUACAAAGGAAACAAUCCAUCCCCGAAAAUUCUAUAAGAUGAACUCUUCCUGUGCAUAUACUGCUCUUUGCCUCCUAUACAUGGAAUGUCUCCUACCCCUCGUUGCUGGCCAACUCCAAGGAUGUGAUGGACAGCACUACCACUCAGAAGUAUUGGACUGACAUCCAGUUGCGCUGGGGAGAAUAUGAUUCCCAUGACAUUGAGCAUUACUCCCGGGCCAAGUUCCUGGACUACACUACAGACAAUACCAGUAUCUAUCCCUCACCCACAGGUGUACUCAUAGCCAUUGACCUGGCCUAUAACUUGCACAGUGCCUACAGAAACUGGUUCCCAGGCAGCAAGCCUCUUAUACAGCAGGCCAUGGCCAAGAUCAUGAAGGCAAACCCUGCCUGGUAUGUGUUACGUGAAUGGAUCCACAAGGGGCUGCAGCUUUACUCAUCAGAGCCCACUGAGCUUUAUCUCUCCUCUCAGAACUAUGGUGAGCUCUUCUCUAACCAGAUUAUCUGGUUUGUGGAUGACACUAAUGUCUAAAGAGUGACUAUCCACAAGACCUUUGAAGGAAACCUGACAACCAAGCCCAUCUGUGGGGCCAUCUUCAUCUUCAACUCACGGACAGGGCAGCUGUUCCUCAAGAUAAUCCACACAUCUGUGUGGGCUGGACAAAAGCUUUUGGGACAGUUGGCUAAGUGGAAGACAGCUGAGGAGGUGGCUGCCCUGAUCCGAUCCCUGCCUGUAGAGGAGCAGCCCAAACAGGUCAUUCUUACCAGGAAGGGCAUGCUGGAUCCAUUGGAGGUGCACUUGCUGCACUUCCCCAAUAUUGUAAUCAAAGGAUCAGAGCUUCAGCUCCCCUUCCAGGCUUGUCUGAAGGUGGAAAAGUUUGGGGAUUUAAUCCUUAAAGCCACUGAGCCCCAGAUGGUUCUCUUCGACCUCUAUGAUGACCGGCUCAAAACUAUUUCAUCUUACACAGCUUUCUCCUGUCUCAUCUUGAUUUUUUACAAAGAAUGACCAAGCAAAGGUGAUCCUGAAGCCAGAUAAGACUACUAUCGCAGAACCACAUCACAUCUGGCCCACUCUGACUGAUGAGGAGUGGAUCAAGGUGGAGGUGCAGCUCAAGGAUCUCAUCUUGGCCGACUAUGGCAAGAAAAACAAUGUGAAUGUGGCAUCACUGACACAAUAAGAAAUUCGAGACAUCAUCCUGGGUAUGGGGAAUCUCAGCACCAUCACAGCUGAGAUUGAGAAGCAGAUCAAGGAACAGACUCGCACUGUCAACAAGCAUGGUGAUGAGAUCAUCACCUCCACCACCAUCAACUACAAGACUCAGACUUUCUCUUCAAAGACUGAAUGGAGGGUCAGGGCCAUCUCUGCUGCCAAUCUGCACUUGAGGACCAAUCACAUCUAUGUUUCAUCUGAUGACAUCAAGGAGACUGGUUACACUUAUAUCCUUCCCAAGAAUGUGCUUAGGAAGUUCAUCUGCAUAUGACCUUUGGGCCCAAACUGCAGGAUAACUAUAUGGGGUGAGCCCACCGGAUAACCCCCAGGUGAAGGAGAUCUGCUGCAUUAUGAUGGUCCCACAGUGGGGCACUCAUCAGACUGUGCACCUGCCUGGCCAGCUGCCCCAACAUGAGUACCUCAAGGAGAUGGAGCCCUUAGGUUGGAUCCACACUCAGCCCAAUGAGUCCCCCCACCAGGAUGUGACCCCAGGAUGUCACCAGUCACGCCAAAAUCAUGGUUGACAACUCAUCUUGGGAUGGCGAGAAGACCAUUAUCAUCAGCUGCAGCUUCACACCAGGCUCCUGCACACUGACAGCCUACAAGCUGACCCCUAGUGGCUAAGAAUGGAGCUGACAGAACACCCACAAGGGCAACAACCCUAAGGGCUACCUACCCUCACACUAUGAAAGGGUCCAGAUGUUGCUGUCAGACCGUUUCCUUGCCUUCUUUAUGGUCCCUGCCCAGUCCUCAUGGAACUACAACUUUAUGGGUGUCCAGCAUGAUCCUAACAUGAAGUAUGAGCUACAGCUGGCAAACCUCAAAGAGUUCUACCACGAGGUGCACAGACUCUCCCACUUCCUCAGCUUUGCCCUCCUGCAGGAGGGUGAGGUCUGCUCUGCAGACCAUGAAGACGUAUAUGCCUAGUUGUUCCCUCACCUCCUAGACCACACUAGUUCUGUCACUUUGCAAAGGUCUGCCGGGAACAGAAGUUAUGUCUUCCCCUAAGAUAGAGCUACAGCCCAACUUAAGACAGAAGAUUUCUCUAUUUCUUCUUUCCCACUAUAACAAAGCACCAUCCACAGGGUUCAAGAUGGGUCUAUAAUAAGCAAAUAUUUCCUCUUCUCAUCAUCAAGGGAAGAGUAAGUUCACAUAAAGCUUGUCUCUGCGAAAGGCCUCACAGCUAUAAAAUGCCACCAGGCGGCUGAGUGGACAUGGGCCCAAAGAAGGCUGACGCCCAAUUGGUAGCACUCUUGGCUCCACG
This is an RNA transcript of Nycticebus coucang (slow loris), 2641 nucleotides long. It is a transcript of the gene named pre-mRNA-processing-splicing factor 8-like, with no coding region annotated. The transcript has a single exon. The record is from RefSeq and is a predicted model, not a curated record. Lineage: Eukaryota; Metazoa; Chordata; Mammalia; Primates; Lorisidae.